AGUGAACGCUGGCGGUAGGCCUAACACAUGCAAGUCGAACGGCAGCACAGUAAGAGCUUGCUCUUACGGGUGGCGAGUGGCGGACGGGUGAGGAAUACAUCGGAAUCUACUUUUUCGUGGGGGAUAACGUAGGGAAACUUACGCUAAUACCGCAUACGACCUACGGGUGAAAGCAGGGGAUCUUCGGACCUUGCGCGAUUGAAUGAGCCGAUGUCGGAUUAGCUAGUUGGCGGGGUAAAGGCCCACCAAGGCGACGAUCCGUAGCUGGUCUGAGAGGAUGAUCAGCCACACUGGAACUGAGACACGGUCCAGACUCCUACGGGAGGCAGCAGUGGGGAAUAUUGGACAAUGGGCGCAAGCCUGAUCCAGCCAUGCCGCGUGAGUGAUGAAGGCCUUCGGGUUGUAAAGCCCUUUUGUUGGGAAAGAAAAGCUGCAGGUUAGUCCCCCGCUGUUUUGACGGUACCCAAAGAAUAAGCACCGGCUAACUUCGUG
This 492-nucleotide ribosomal RNA is filed under the name uncultured bacterium. RNAcentral describes it as "partial 16S ribosomal RNA". It matches the Rfam family "Bacterial small subunit ribosomal RNA", at positions 29 to 507 of the family's 1533-position model. The record is from RNAcentral.